This is a long non-coding RNA of Equus caballus (horse), 1589 nucleotides long. The record is from Ensembl. NCBI's taxonomy places the organism in Eukaryota, Metazoa, Chordata, Mammalia, Perissodactyla, Equidae.
GCAGACUUUAGUAUGAGACUAGAUUCUAUCUCCAGAAACAACAUUUAAGUUUUAUCCCUUAUGCAGAGUAUCCAGUGGCACAACAUUAGGAAUCCAUCAUCAUUAUAGUGGAUCACUAUCAUAUUCCAUUGAAAAUGCCUACUGGAAGUCAAGAUACAUUUGUUGCCUGUUGACCUAACCUGGAUCAUACUGCAUAAGGAUGCUACUGUUUCCAAAGCACUUUGACAUUUCAGAUAACAUAUUGGAAAAGGAGUAUAAUUUUUAAAGGAAGAGGCUUUUGUGAGAGCAUUGACAUUUAAAGGACAGCAGAGAAGAUCCUGAACAGAGACCUGAGUAUAAGCUACACAGAGAGCGGAAAAAACCUUGCGAAUUUCCUAGUAAAGCUCACCACUGGUGCAACUCAGUUAAAAGCCAGGUGGCAUGGGAGUCCUGCAGACAUAGCCCACCUCUGUCAGUGUCCUGAGUCAAGAGCAGGACUGGCAAGGUUGGAAAGUGGAUGUGGAGGAGCAAGGAAGAGAGAGCUGUAUUUAGAAGAGUUUGAAUUGUUUGCAGCAUACAUUGAUGAACAACCCAGAAACUUGAGUGAUGUUUUUGGAAUACCUGUGCAUCAUAUGCACUAUGGAAUGUGCUAUGGAGCAUAAAAAUACAGUGUCCUGGUCUGAAAAGAAGGAUACAGACAAGAAAUUGAGUCUUGUUUCCUGAUUAUUCAUCUUGUGGUCUUUGGAUAAGUCAUCUCUUGUAUCUUCAGUGCCUUCAGAACUUUACACGCAUCGGGAGGAUUAGGAAUGAUGAACAGAAAGUGCCUGGCAGAAGAUAUUCACAAAGAAAAUAAGGAUCCUAAUACUAACUACAACAUUGGACUAAAGUGACUACAAUAACGUGUGCCUGCCAUUAACAAAAGCAUGAACAAAAAGCUGAGGCAGCUCAGAAGCUGGGAUGAGAUCUGCUUUGGUGAAUGAGGGACAAUUUCAUAAAGGAGGUGCCAUUGGAUCCGGAAACUGACGAAUAAAAAAGAGUUUAGCAGAUGAAGCGGAGUGGGCUAUACAAACAAAUGGGAUUAUGAACAUGUCGCAUAUGAUUAUGUAAUCAUGAGAACCUCAGUAUUGAACGUAAUUGAAUAUAGAGCCUUGAGAGGAAUGUUGGGGCCAGAAGUUUUAUACACACACACACAUUCACACACACACACAUUCACACACAUGUAAUACAAAAGAAUUAAUGCUUGCUGCCUUAAUGCAUACUGUCACAUAUUUAGAAAUAUUUUCUGCUUUUGGCACGAGGAGAGUUUUCUUAGUAAAAGUCCACCGAUAGUCCUGCUGCGCCUGUCUUUGCAUAACUCUGAUUCUGUGUAGGCGUAACUGUACACUCAAAUUGCAGCUAAUUGAUUGCGAAGCACAACUUGCUCUGGUUAAAGAAAUAGUUUAAUUCCAUAAAUAUCCAUAAAAGCUUGAAAUGAGGUAAGAAUCUCAGUGCUCACAUUCAGAAUCUCCUUAUUUUCCGUUAAAAACACAUUUGCAAUUUUAAGUCCCUUUACUUCCAGACAUAUGGUAAACUUAACGUCAGUCAUUCUUGAUGUAAUCCCCUCUCUGCAG